UUAUAUGGAGCUACCGGAACGUUUGUUCCGUAAACAAACGGAGACCAAACAUCAACCUCUUUGUGUCCCUGAUACGACGGAGGUAUGGCGGUUCUGUAAGUAAUUUGUUGGCUCCGGUAUGUGACGUAAGAAUCAAGACGAUCGUAGUAGAUACCAAUUUUAUCGUUGGGAUUACGUGAAGAAACUGUGACUUGGAAAUUUGAGGUUAAGAAAUUUGGAACUGUGGCGUUGAAAGCGUAAACAGUGACAUCUUGGAGAAUGAAAGAAGGUUUAGAAGGUUUUAAGACAGCCCAAAUGAUUAGGAUUGUUACUAGGACAAUGAAGAGGAAGAUUAUGAUUCCCCAGAAGAUUUUUCUGAAGCGUUUGUGUUUCUUUCCUUUGUGGUGGUUGCACUCUUUUACCGACAUGGUUUUGAGGUUGAUGUUGAGGUUGAGGUUAAGGUUGUUAAGGUUUUGUUUAGUGGAAUUUGGAGAAAGUGAGGUUUGAAGUAUUUGAGAGAGGAGUGAAAAAUGGUAGCUAGAGAGUGGUUUUUGUUAGGAAAAUUAAGAAGGUGGAAAAUGGGUUGGAAGUUUAUCGCUUUCAAGGUGUUAUAGUUUAUUUAGAAAUAAUAGUGAUGAUGAUGAUGUGUUUGAAAAGAUGUGAUAAGAUUAUGUUACUACUAAGAAUAAAUAUUAUAUAUAUUAUUAGCAUGAAUAUGUUAGGUGGUUGAGGCUAAUUUGUAUGACAUGUAAAAGUUUUUUGGAUAUUGAAAUAGGGUUUUGCUAGAAGACGCCUUUUAGAUGGGUCUUUUAGCAAGCCACACCUUAAGGUGUGAUAUCUUAAGGUGUGAUAUUCAUUUUUUAGUUAUAACUUUGCUAAAAGAAACCUUGAUAAAAAUUAGUUGGUGUCUUUUAACAAAUGUCAAUAGAAAAACUUGCUAAAAAACACCUUCAUAAAAGGUGUCUUCUAGCAAAACCCAUUGAAAUAUAUGUAUUUUUUUAUUUAUUUCAUAUCCUAUCUUCUUUCUUUUUAGACUUAAUAACAAUUUUGACCCCUAUGUUUUAACAAGUUGCGAUUUUGGUCCCCUAAUUAAAUAAACUAUAAAAUCGUCCUUUUAAGUAUUGAUUUUUUUUGCAGUUUUGGCCCCCCAAGCCAAUUUUGACCAAGUCAAAGCUGACAUGGGCACCACAUGUGUAUUUAUUAUUUUUAUUUAUUUUUUAAUUAUUAAAAAAGUAAAAAAAAAUGUAUUUUUUUAUUAAAAAAUUAAAAAAAAUAAAUAAAUACACACGUGGCAUCCACGUGUGCAUUGACUUGGUCAAAAUUGGUCUGGGGGGCCAAAACUGCAAAAAAAGUCAAUACUUAAGGGGCUGUUUUGUAGUUUAUUUAAUUAGGGGGCCAAAAUCGCAACUUCUUGAAACAGAGGGGGCCAAAUCUGCUAUUAAGCCUUCUUUUUAUUACUCAGGUUUGUUAAAAUGUAAUUUUAUUUUCAUAUCAAAUUCAGUUAAAGCAUAAAAGUAAAAUGAGAUUAUUGUUAAUUUCAUCAUUACUCAUUACAUUGAGUCCAGAUCUGCUCCGGUUGGUAUUUUGUCCAGUUUCCCGUUAGCUUAACGGAUGUGUGACACAAUGCAAAAAACAUUUGAAUGGUUCAGAUUAAAAACAAAAUCAGGACUCCCUCACGUUCUUCUCUCUGUGUUUUGAAGUCUUCUCCCUUACGCGUUUAUCAUCUUCCGCACCUUCCACAUCCGUCAAACCCAAAACUAGAAGAACCCUCACUUCGCCACACCGUCUCUCCUUCUUGCAACGUCGUCCUCCUCGGCACCCAGAACCAAACAAGGUUUUCAAUUCACCGUCGUUUACACCAUUUCCCCCUUUUCAAUUGGUUUGGGAACAAAUUUUGCAUGAAGAUUUGGGAGAAAAAAUUCAGAGGCUUAAGAACAAAAUUUGCAGGAACAUUUGGGAGGAAAAAAAUCACAGAUCCAGAACAGUGAGUGGGAAAAGCAGCGAUAUGUUGAAAUGGAGAAGAGAGAAAAACGCGUACAGGGAAAAGUUUAAACAUGGAGAGACGAGCGCAUAGGAGCGCGAUGGAGUUACAUAUUUUGUUUUUAAUCUGAACCGUUUAAAUGUUUUUUGCCAUGAGUCACACAUCCGUUAAGCUAACCUGGAAACUGGACAAAAUACUAACUGGAGCAGAUAUGGACUCCAGUACAUUAGCUCCUGCACUAUGAUAUCAUUUGAUAUGUACCCUUUUUUUUUUACCUUGAACAAAUUAAGCAAGUAUGAAUGUGAGGAACACGUGUCGGGUGUGCACGUUAUAGUUGCAAGAGAAUUUAUUAGCCUUCAUUGUCUAUUGGAUAGCGUGUUUUGAAAUUGCCACUUGAUGAGAGAAACUCUUGGGUGGACACAAGGAUUUGGACCCUUUAUUUGGUUACACACACAUAAAAAGAAAAAAGGUAGAAGAAAUAAUAAUUAAAUAUCAUUAAUUUUCAAAUGAUUAUAUCAUGUCCAUUUUUAUUGUGUGUGACCAAAUAGAGGGUCCAAAUCCUUGUGUCUACUCAAGAAUAAUUCAUUUGGUGAUUGGGGUUUCCUUUCUGGUUCAAUAUUUCAGUUGAGUCAUUAAUUAGGACAACAUGAUGUGAGAGUUAACUAUUGUUAGAUGAAAAUAGGCCAUUGGUACCAAAUUUGAAAGAAGGGUCUUGCUAAUAAGUGUUUUAAAGAUGUUGUUUAAAAAAUUUAUAAAAAGAAACUUUGUUUUGAAAAUACAAGUUCAACAUUUGUAAAAGUUAUAAUUAUAGUAAAAAUUACUAUUUUUGGAUUUUUAAACAAUACCUAAGGCAUUUAUUGGAAAGAGCAAUGAUAUUUGAACAACCAUUUGGUAAAACUUAUUUGACAACCUUUCUUUUCUCUCUUUUCAUCAUUGGUCAAAAACAAUGGAGAGAGAAAAAGGAAGAGAGAAAGUAAGAAUAUAAUGUGAGUAUGAGAGAGAAAGUUGUCCAAAAAUUAUCACAAAGUGGUUGUACAAAUAUCAUUUCUCUAUUGAAAAAUGUUAGUAACUAGUAGUAUCCAUAGAACACUUGUUAAAUAAACUAAUGUAGAUAUUUUACAUUAGAAAGUGGAAUGUUCAACUUUAUGAAAGUCAAAAGAAUGUUUUUAAUGAAAGAAAAGUUUAUAUUUUUUACUUUCUUAACUAGUGCUCCAGGACCAUUAGUUAGUGUGAACAGUGGCGGAUCUUGGAAAAAAAAUCGAGGGUGCCAAAUAUUUAUGAAAUAUAUAUUAAACGUUUUUAAAUAAUGUGCAACAUAGUAAACUAGUGUAGUGGUACAAAUGCUUGUACAUGGAGGAUGCUGGUUUAAAUCUCACUAGGGUCAUUUUUUUGAAUAAAAUAUGAAAAAUUCGCUAAGAAUUAUUAAAAAGGAGAGUACCGGAGGGAUCGAACUCGGGACACGCAAUGGGUUGAGAGAAUGCAUUACCACUGCAACAAAACGUAUUAAUUGAAUUAAUAUGCCUAAUAUGAUAUCUAUAUCCAAACUGGGGGGUGCAGUGACACCUGAGGGUCUCCAAAGAGAUCCGCCUCUGAGUGUGAACCUUUUGUGUUGUAUGUGAUUGGCCCCAUCGAGAAUCUCAAUGUUGCUUUCAACCAAGAAAGUUCGCAAGAAAGGGAGAUUAUGUUUUAAGGUUUAUUUGUGUCUAUUGACAUUCGUUGAAUCAAGCUUGAUUCCAUUUUCUUAAUAUCAAAUUUGGUAUCUAUGUUGCUCACUUGAAAAAAUUUACUAUUUGCAUCAGGGUGGACAUCAAUUGUUGUGAAUUUCAUAUACAAAUCACACCAAUAAACUUAAAUGUGUUAAGCAAGUAUGAAUGAAUGACAAUCAAUAACCAAAAUACUCUCAAGCAACAACAACAUGUUUAAUUUAACAACCAAUGUGUAAAGAAAAACUACAAUUGAAUCAAAGACAUGAGAUUUUAAGGCAUAUCACAACAUAUAUGAUAGAAAAAAUAAACAUUAAUAUUUUAUUAAUAUUGGAAAAUAAUUUAUAAGUUUGAGACAUUUUUUUUCCUCGUAAAGUAACUUUCUUUAUUGACAAAGAGGGUACUAUUUUAGACCUUUAAACAAUAUACUCAUUUGCAUUUUCCUGUAAUAAUUUGUUACUAUGUAUGAGUAAGUAGAUGGUGUGGUAAUUCUUAAUUGAAGUCUUCUACACAAAAUUACUAGACAACCGUGAAUUCUACCCCAACCGUGCAUGUAUUCUCCCCAAACUCGUCCAUUUCAAUGAUAGCAUUGAUUUCAUUAAAAUGUUUAUGCUUGCCAUUGUCAACAAAGGGCUACUUUACGUUUUGUAAAAUAAUCAGUUUUACAAAGGUACGAAAAGGCACAGAUGUUAGAAAUUGGGUAGAACAUUUACAUAAAUAAAUGGAAAAUGUUGAUAAGUGUAUUUACAGAGUUUCAUUUGUUUUAGAAAUCAAAAUAGGUAAUUUUUACUUAAAAGUUGUAUAUUUAUUAAUUUGGCUUAUAUUUCUCAAUUAAAAAUUAUUUUUAUUGAUUCUUUAAGCAAUAGUACUUUAGAAUACUAAAGUCUUAAAAAUUUACUACCUUCGUCCCUAAUUAUAAGAUCCUUUUGAGAAUUUUUUUUGUCCCUUUUUAUAAGACUCAUUUUCUAUUUCCAACUACAUUAAUUAUUUCUUUACAUACAUGCCCCUAUUUAUUAUACAUCUUUUUCUUCAAUCAACAAUAAAUAGAAUGUUGAAAACAUAAGCCAACCCUUUUUCUUAAAGGAUAAAAUUGUAAAAACAAUAGUAAUUACAAACAUAUUUAAUACAAAUAUCCACCAUCUUAAUUCCCGUUAUUUUUUCAAAAAGCCUUAUAAUUAGGGACGGAGGUAGUAUUAUUUAAAAUAAAAAUGAAAUUAACACUUGUUGCUCUUAAAAACAAUGAUAUUUAAACAUGUCUAAUUUCUUAAACAAUUCAUUUUCUAUUCCAACAGAUUAAUCUAUUACACCAUCAUCUCUAUUUCUUUUACUCUUUAAAAAAAAAAAACUCUGUUUCUUCCACUCUCAAGAUGUACACUAUUAGGUGCAUGAAUUUCUAAGUAACAUUUUUCCUAAGAAAAAAGAUCAAUGUUAUUUGAACAACAUUUUUAUGUGACAAUUUGUUAGACAACCACAUUAUACAAAGAAAUUUAGGUAGUGACACAAAUAUUAAAGCAAUAGAGAGAGAAAGUAGAAGAACAAUGUGUGUAUAAGAGAGAAAGUUGUCAUAAAAGUUGUCAAAAAGUGGUUGUUCAAAUAUAUUUCUCUAACAAAGAUCACGUUUGGAGGCUUAGGCUACGUUGAGGUCUCCUACCGUAGGUGACUACAUUUUUUUUUUUUUUUUGGUUUAUAAAAUGCUUUUUAGCCAUUGGAUUUGGAAAGAAGUUUUCAAUGGCAUAUAUCUUUAGACAUGUUGACCCACUAGCAAUGUAUAUGUAUAAUGUUUAAUUUUUGUCUUUAAUAAAGUAAUGAGUAAAUAGUCAAUUUCCCCCUGAAAUUGUAAGUUUCAUCAAUUACCCCCCUGAAAUUAACAAAACUUCAAUUACCCCCCCUGAAAUUUCACAAUGUUAGUCAAUUUACCCCCUCCGUCAAAUUUUUCUGUUAGUGAACAUGACGUUUUGCAAAUAUCCCCCUGAAGUNCCUGAAAUUUCACAAUGUUAGUCAAUUUACCCCCUCCGUCAAAUUUUUCUGUUAGUGAACAUGACGUUUUGCAAAUAUCCCCCUGAAGUUUUGCACUUAUGUGCAAAAUGUCCCCAAACUUAAAAAUUUAUAUUAUUUUUUUCUUAAAAAUAAACAAUUAAUAGUUAAAUAUUAAAGUUAACUAUUAAUUUUGUAGUUUGGAAAAACCACAUACUUAUAUACAUCAAAUUAUUUUUAAAGUUAUAUGUGAUUAAUAUAUUACUGAUGACCUGCAACAACAGGUAACUAAUACUGACUUGACCUACAAAUACAAGUUAUAAGAUCAACAUAAAAAAAAAAAAAAAAACUUGUAAAUGCAUGUCCUACCAUACAUGACCCAUAAGGGUCGCCUACCUCAAACGGCACCCACGUUUGGAUAUCCAAUUUGGAAAAGAACGUGAUAUAUAACGACACAUUAUACUAGGUCCCACUUAACAUGACAGAAGAGCUCCCACUCAGCAACACCGACCAUGUUUUGGUUUUUCUAAACUUGGUUUGAAAAUAGAAAAAUACUGUUACUCCACUAGCUGUUGGCAACACCAAACCCUGGACUAAGGCCUAAAGUAUAGUUUAGUUUCAAGGGCCUAAAUACAACUCCUUUUGUUUGAUCAAUUAAGUGUAACUCAAUAAAGAAAAGAAAUAGAGGAAAAGAAAACGGUUAAUUAUGUUUUAGGUCCUAUAAAUAGACGUGUUUUUAACAUUAGUCUCUACUUAAAUUUUAUUAAAUUUUUGGUCCUAACAUUUUUUUCCGUUAGUGAAAUAGAUCUUCGCUGUUAAUUGUUGCUGAUUGAACAAACGGUGAAGCACACGUGGAUACCACAUCUGACUUUUUUGUUGGAUUAAAUAUGUUUUUAAUCCCUAUAAAAUUGAGACAUUUUAAGUUUAGUCCUUACUUAAUUUUAAUAGUUGUUUUAACCCUUACAAAAAUACUAUACACUCACUAUUAGUCCUUACUCAAUUCAAAUUUGUUUAAUUUAUACUUAAACUCUUAAGUUUUUUUAACAAUUUUUUGUAGAUGUAUUAAGCAUUACUCUUUGGUUGAUCUGUAGACAUCUUGUAUACUGCCACUAGUUUUGCAUGAAAUGGGAGCAUAUGGGUUGAUUCGAAUUAAUAUGGAAUUAUUUUUCCACACCCAUUCAAUAGUUUGCCCCUGGUUAAUGAUAUUAGGUUCUACUCAAAUAAUCUACGCCGCUUCAACAUCUUUUGGUAUGAUAGACUAUGUCUUCUUUAUCUUGACGAAAUGGAUGGAAUGGCUAUCCCAAUGUCAAAAAUAUUCACGAUUUUCACUAUCUUAUCGAUGACUUCUUUUGCAUUGUCGGACAUGAGUGAUUUUGUUGCCGAAUUGAUAGUUUUUUUUUUUGGAAUAAUUACUAGUCAAAAGUUUCUUUUCUUGAUGAAAAUACUAUCAUAACUAGUUUUAAUAGGUUUUUUUAGUCCCUACAAAAAAAAAAAUUACUUCUAAUUUUAGUCCCUACUAAAACAAAGUUUGUUUAAUUAUCCUUAAACUCUUAAAUUUUUGAACGAAUUUUUUGAGACAAGUUUAGAACACUAUGAAAGGUUCAAUUAAUAAAAUUUAGAAUUUUUUAACAUGAAAAAAAUUAAAUAUGAAUUUUUGAAAACAAUUAAAGAUAAAGAUAAAAGUAAUAAAAUAUGAAAAUAUAAAUCAAAUUUUGCGGCGGUACUUUUAGUAAUGUUCUUAACACGUCUACAAAAAAUUGUUAAAAAACUUAAGAGUUUAAGAAUAAAUUAAACAAAUUUGAAUUGAGUAGAGACUAAUAUUGAAUGCAUAGUAUUUUUGUAAGGACUAAAACAACUAUUAAAAUUAAGGACUAAACUUAAAAUGCCUCAAUUUUACAGGGACUAAAAACAUAUUUAACCCAACAAAAAAAAGUCAGAUGUGGCAUCCACGUAUGCUUCCGUUUGUUCAAUCAACAACAAUUAACAGCGAGGACCUAUUUUGCUAACGGAAAAAAACGACGGGGACCAAAAAUUUAAUAAAAUUUAAGUAGGAACUAAUGUUGGAAACACGCCUAUUUAUAGAGACCUAAAACAUAAUUAACCCAAAAGAAAAAGGUACUUUCUUCGAUUGAAAGAUACAAGCCAAAAUCUUAUGUCUUGAUUUCACAAAGAAAUUUGAUUCAAAAGAUAUUUAAAGAUUCCUCCUUACGCUAUCAUACUACCAAAUACCAAUCUUUUGUGACGCUUUCAUUUGUGGAUACUCUACCUAUAGUCUCACUUUGGAUCUCAAAUUGAUGUACACAUUUACAUGCCAAAUGAAGCUUUAGUUUACUAAUUAAUGUUGCAUGCUGUCUUCUAAAAACAGCUCUAAUAGUAAAAGGUUGCAAUGACAAUUAAUAUCUUGGUUAUAUGUUCGAACCAACAAUAUUUUUUAUUUUCGUAUUUAAUGUGUGUGAGUUUUGUCCUAAAUUUUUAACUUAGGAUCUUAAAAUAUCUCUCUCAAGAUUACAUGUUUGAUUCUCUCUCGUAUCAAUUUUGAUGGAUUAUUUUAGGUCCAAAAAAAGUUUUUGAUGCAAAAACAAAACAUUUUGCUUACGUCUCCUUAAUUUUUUUUCUAGCAGUCAUUUUCAAAGCUCAAAUUAUAUGUAUAAUUAUUGCUUUGUUAAAAUUAACCAUCGUUAAUUUAUUAAUUUUUUUGGUAUGUAUUCCUUUAAAAAAAUUGUCAUGUAUAAAAUUUAAAAGGAUGGGAAGUAAUAGUUUUUAUUGAGUAGUAGUGAUGAUGCCUGUUCGUAUAAUUUAAGCAACUUGAGUGUGAUUAACCAGUCGUGGUAUUUAUAUUCAUAUCUCCUUUUCACCUAAUUUAAUUAAGAAGCAACUCUAUAUUUCUCCGUUGAAAGUUCAAAGUAUAAAAAGCAAAUGCAACCAUCUCUAGCUAUAUAAAGAUUAGUCAACUUUGUAUCACUUUUAGGAACGGAUUCAACUUGUUCACAUGGUAGCCGGUUUUGAGUGUAGACGAAUCAAAGAAUGUUCCUUUUAAUAUGCACAACCUUGACGGUGCUCACAAUACCAAAUCUGUUUUAGUUUCAAAUUACUUGAUGCUAAGCAUGCAUGUGUUCUGUUUGGCUGUCCACACCCUCUAAUUUGAUCAUAGAUUAUUAUUUUUUUUUAUAAGAAUUAGGUAUUUCUCUGCGAAACGGUAGAGAAUUCUUAGAAAUCGUGGUUGAGCUUAACACAACCCCACAAAACCAACUUGUGAGGUGAGGAUUGCCCCCACUUAUAAACACGUUGUCAUGUCAUCUUUCAUUCCGAUGUGAGACUCUUAACAAGAAUAAUCUCUCAAAUCGUUGAUAUCACACUAGAUGAUAAAGUUAAUUUAACAAUGCAUCUAAGAACUGGAUUCAAACUCAAAAUCACAAGAGAUGUAAAUUUACCUCUUUUCUAUAUUUGAUUAUAGAAUAUAUAAUAGUUGAACAUAAAUAAUUAGGUGCAUCUAUUAUACAUAAGCAAAACCCUUUCUUUAGGCACGGUAGGUGAGGGCGUGAAAAGGACCACCACCACCACUCUACCAUGUGGAAUGAAUAUAAAUAAAUCCUUCAAUCAUUGACCUUAAUUUCUAAGUGCGUAUGUUAAUUAGUUUCCUUUAGGGAAAUCAUCUUUUAACAACAAAAAGAAAAUAUUUACAAAUUUAGAUACUAACCCUUCUGCGGAAGAACCAAUUCAGUCCAUUUCAAUGACACACUAAAAUGUAUAAUUGGUAUAGUUUCAUUUUUAAAAAUGAGAAAGAAGUGGUCAAACAAUAUAGACAUUCAACUUUCUAUUAAAAAAGAAAGACCUUCAAUUUGAAAAUUAAUUAUAUACUACACUCUUCAUUAUUGAUCCAAUAAUAUACUACAGGUGGCCAAGAAUAUAGACAAGGAUAUACACAUGCAUAAGUAAGCAUAACCAAUAAAAAGUAACCAAAAGUAAAUAAUAAACGAAUCAUCCAUUAUAUUCAUGAAUAUUCUUAAGUAAAGAAUAAAGCAAAACAACACAUCUUCUAUCCAAAUUGACACAAAAAAUUAUUUUAUUAAUGUAUUGAUUCACCUCAAAUGACAGUGUUACAAACUUACAGUACAUAUUACAAUUUUUUUCUACACAUCUCUAUCUCCUCCAUCAAUUUUUCACAUAUAGCUCCAAGUGAAUUUUUAUUCUAUAACAAUAAAUUAUAUGUAAUAAUAACAACAACAAAAUGUACAAUUCAAAUACCGUGGUAGAAAAUAAGAAUACGUGUAAAAUGAAACAUUAUUACUAAACAGAGUAAUAUACCAGAAGCAGAGAAGAAUAGAGGAAGGAGUGAAACACAAUAUACUCAACAUCGUUGACUAUCAAACACUGACAGUGCACCGUUGAACAAUCUGAUACUUAACAGCGCCGCUAUCACCGACGCUAAUACCGUUACUUCUUGGACCAAACGUGAUAAAAGCAGGACAACGAACAAAAAUAUGGUAAUGACCAGAAAUAAAAGCACCAACCUUCCACCUAACCCUACCAUCAAAUUUAACGACAACAAGAACGUUACCGUUAUCCUGGUCUUGGCUAAGAGCAACAGAGUUAUAUGGAGCUACCGGAACGUUUGUUCCGUAAACAAACGGAGACCAAACAUCAACCUCUUUGUGUCCCUGAUACGACGGAGGUAUGGCGGUUCUGUAAGUAAUUUGUUGGCUCCGGUAUGUGACGUAAGAAUCAAGACGAUCGUAGUAGAUACCGAUUUUAUUGUUGGGAUUAUUAGUGUAUUAAUAAUAACUGCUUGUAACUAAUUUGGUUAAGUUUGUUUUAAUUUUUCCUAUUACUUAGAGAGUUAACUUGUAUAGCAAGCAAGUAACCAUUUUGCCUAUAAAAGGCUUUGUAAUUGUGAACUUCAUAACUAAUGAGCAUUAUUCACAUUACACAAUAAUUCUCUCCAUUAUUCUCUCUUCUCAUAACAACUUUCUGUUAUAAUCAUCUUGCUUAGAAACAAUUUAUCUUAAUAAGCACUUUUGCUGCGCAUGAACAAAGUGAUUGUUCUAACAAUUGGUAUAGAGAGUCUGGAUUAAAUAUUAGGGAAACACAAGUGAAAAGUGAGGGGAAUCAUCAUUGGAAAUCACAGAGUGAGGUCUGUGUAUUGAUUUCUCUGUUUUCUUGAGAAUUAAGCAAGAUGAACACAAACGGUUUUGGCUCAAACAUCUUAGUUCUUGAUGGCAAGAAUUGGGAACGAUGGAGUGCUUUGAUGAAAUCAUUGUUUGGCACGCAAGAUGUGAGUGAAGUUGUGCAGAAUGAUUUUGAAGAACCUUCUGCAAAUUCCACUAAUGUGCAGAGAGCAGUUUAGAAAGAAAACAAGAAGAAAAACUGUAAAGCUCUGUUCUAUAUUCAACAAAAUGUUGAUAAUCAACAUUUUGAGAAGAUUUCAAAAGCAACUAGAUCUAAAGAAGCAUGGGAUAUUUUGGAGAAUUAUCAUAAUGGGGGAGAAAAGGUGAAACAAGUCAAGCUGCAAUCAUAUAGAAGGAAGUAUGAAAUGAUGCAAAUGGAAGAAGAUCAGAAGGUAAGUGAUUACUUCUCAAAGAUGAUUGAAAUUGUGAAUUUGAUGAAGAAUUGUGGUGAAAACAUUUCUGAUCAGAUGAUAGUUGAGAAAGUCUUGAGAUCUUUAAGUCAAAAGUUUGAUUUCAUAGUGGUAGAAAUCCAAGAAGUAAAGGAUGUGAAGAUUAUGAUGGUUGAAGAAUUGCGGGGUUCUCUUGAAGCACAUGAACUGUUGGUGAUUGAUAGAAGUUCAGAAAGAUCAGUUCAACAAGCUCUUCAGGUUCAAACAACCAAGAAAGAGGGAGAUUUUAAGAAUUUCAAAAAGGGAAGAGGUAAAACAAAUUGGUCCUCUAAUGCAAAAUCCAAACCUGAGAACAAAAUUGAAUCUUCUAAAAGAGGAAGUUUUGGAAAAAAAAUCAGAACAAAAAGAGGGAUUUUGACAAGAGUAAAGUUCAGUGUUAUAAUUGUGAAAAAUUUGGCCCUUUUGCUGAUGAAUGUUGGUUCAAGAAAGAUUAGAAGACUGAAGAAGCCAAUAUUGCUCAUGAAGGUGACCCUGAUGCAGUGUUGUUAAUGGCUGCUGCAUGUGAAGAUAGGAUGAAAAGUGAAGAAUGGUAUCUUGAUACUGGGUGUUAUAAUCAUAUGACAGCUCAUAGAGAGUGGUUAACAAAUUUUGAUGCUAGUAAGAAAACAAGUAUCAAGUUGGCUGACAAUAGGAAACUUGCAUCAGAAGGCAGUGAUAAUAUAGUGAUGAGGAGCAAUUUUGGUGGUAAAGUGACAAUUGAAGAUGUGUUCUAUGUUCUAAAUAUGAAUGUAAUCUGAUGAGCAUAGGUCAAUUAGUGGAGAAAGGAUUCUCAGUUUCAAUGGAAGGUGAUUCAUUGAAACUAUUUGAUCAAAAGAAGAAUCUGGUGUUGAAAUCUACUUUGUCAAAAAAUAGAACCUAUAGAUGCAACAUAUCAAGUGAUAAAAUGUUGUGUAUGUCUGCAACUAUCAGUGAAGAUGUUAAAGCAUUGUGGCAUUCAUAUAUUUGUGGGUCUUUUGAAGUACCUUCUCUUGGUGGCAGUAAGUAUUUCAUUAGCUUUAUUGAUGAAUUCACAAGAAUGAUUUGACUGUAUACUAUUAAGCUUAAAAGUGAAGCUUUAGAAAUAUUCAAAAGAUUCAAAAUCUCAGUAGAAAAGGAAAGUGAUAAAUCUAUUAAGAUUUUGAGGACAGACGGUGGAGGUGAGUAUACAUCAAAGGAAUUUGAAGCUUUCUGCACAAGUCAAGGAGUUGUUCAUGAAGUAAUUGCUCCAUAUACACCUCAACAUAAUGGACUUGCAGAAAGAAGAAACAGGACCCUGCUAAACAUGACAAGGAGCAUGCUUAACCANAACACAACCCCACAAAACCAACUUGUGAGGUGAGGAUUGCCCCCACUUAUAAACACGUUGUCAUGUCAUCUUUCAUUCCGAUGUGAGACUCUUAACAAGAAUAAUCUCUCAAAUCGUUGAUAUCACACUAGAUGAUAAAGUUAAUUUAACAAUGCAUCUAAGAACUGGAUUCAAACUCAAAAUCACAAGAGAUGUAAAUUUACCUCUUUUCUAUAUUUGAUUAUAGAAUAUAUAAUAGUUGAACAUAAAUAAUUAGGUGCAUCUAUUAUACAUAAGCAAAACCCUUUCUUUAGGCACGGUAGGUGAGGGCGUGAAAAGGACCACCACCACCACUCUACCAUGUGGAAUGAAUAUAAAUAAAUCCUUCAAUCAUUGACCUUAAUUUCUAAGUGCGUAUGUUAAUUAGUUUCCUUUAGGGAAAUCAUCUUUUAACAACAAAAAGAAAAUAUUUACAAAUUUAGAUACUAACCCUUCUGCGGAAGAACCAAUUCAGUCCAUUUCAAUGACACACUAAAAUGUAUAAUUGGUAUAGUUUCAUUUUUAAAAAUGAGAAAGAAGUGGUCAAACAAUAUAGACAUUCAACUUUCUAUUAAAAAAGAAAGACCUUCAAUUUGAAAAUUAAUUAUAUACUACACUCUUCAUUAUUGAUCCAAUAAUAUACUACAGGUGGCCAAGAAUAUAGACAAGGAUAUACACAUGCAUAAGUAAGCAUAACCAAUAAAAAGUAACCAAAAGUAAAUAAUAAACGAAUCAUCCAUUAUAUUCAUGAAUAUUCUUAAGUAAAGAAUAAAGCAAAACAACACAUCUUCUAUCCAAAUUGACACAAAAAAUUAUUUUAUUAAUGUAUUGAUUCACCUCAAAUGACAGUGUUACAAACUUACAGUACAUAUUACAAUUUUUUUCUACACAUCUCUAUCUCCUCCAUCAAUUUUUCACAUAUAGCUCCAAGUGAAUUUUUAUUCUAUAACAAUAAAUUAUAUGUAAUAAUAACAACAACAAAAUGUACAAUUCAAAUACCGUGGUAGAAAAUAAGAAUACGUGUAAAAUGAAACAUUAUUACUAAACAGAGUAAUAUACCAGAAGCAGAGAAGAAUAGAGGAAGGAGUGAAACACAAUAUACUCAACAUCGUUGACUAUCAAACACUGACAGUGCACCGUUGAACAAUCUGAUACUUAACAGCGCCGCUAUCACCGACGCUAAUACCGUUACUUCUUGGACCAAACGUGAUAAAAGCAGGACAACGAACAAAAAUAUGGUAAUGACCAGAAAUAAAAGCACCAACCUUCCACCUAACCCUACCAUCAAAUUUAACGACAACAAGAACGUUACCGUUAUCCUGGUCUUGGCUAAGAGCAACAGAGUUAUAUGGAGCUACCGGAACGUUUGUUCCGUAAACAAACGGAGACCAAACAUCAACCUCUUUGUGUCCCUGAUACGACGGAGGUAUGGCGGUUCUGUAAGUAAUUUGUUGGCUCCGGUAUGUGACGUAAGAAUCAAGACGAUCGUAGUAGAUACCGAUUUUAUUGUUGGGAUUAUUAGUGUAUUAAUAAUAACUGCUUGUAACUAAUUUGGUUAAGUUUGUUUUAAUUUUUCCUAUUAGUUAGAGAGUUAACUUGCAUAGCAAGCAAGUAACCAUUUUGCCUAUAAAAGGCUUUGUAAUUGUGAACUUCAUAACUAAUGAGCAUUAUUCACAUUACACAAUAAUUCUUUCCAUUAUUCUCUCUUCUCAUAACAACUUUCUGUUAUAAUCAUCUUGCUUAGAAACAGCUUAUCAUAAUAAGCACUUUUGCUGCGCAUGAACAAAGUGACUGUUCUAACAGGGAUUACGUGAAGAAACUGUGACUUGGAAAUUUGAGGUUAAGAAAUUUUGAACUGUGGCGUUGAAAGCGUAAACAGUGACAUCUUGGAGAAUGAAAGACGGUUUAGAAGGUUUUAAGACAUCCCAAAUGAUUAGGAUUGUUACUAGGACGAUGAAGAGGAAGAUUAUGAUUCCUAGAAGAUUUUUCUGAAGCGUUUGUGUUUGUUUCCUUUGUGGUGAUUGCACUCUUUUACCGACAUGGUUUUGAGGUUAAGGUUGUUGUUAAGGUUUUGUUUAGUGGAAUUUGGAGAGAGUGAGGUUUGAAGUAUUUGAGAGAGGAGUGAAAAAUGGUUGCUAGAGAGUGGUUUUUGUUAGGAAAAUUAAGAAGGUGGGAAAUGGGUUGGAAGUUUAUCGCUUUCAAGGUGUUAUAGUUUAUUUAGAAAUAAUAGUGAUGAUGAUGAUGUGUUUGAAAAGAUGUGAUAAGAUUAUGUUACUACAUGGGAGAAGAAUAAAUAUUAUAUAUAUUAUUAGCAUGAAUAUGUUAGUUGGUUGAGGCUAAUUUGUAUGACAUGUAAAAAAAUUUGGAUAUUCAAAUAUAUGUAUUUUUUAUUUCAUAUCCUAUCUUCUUUCUUUUUAGACUUAAUAGCAAUUUUGGCCCCUCUAUGUUUUAAGAAGUUGCGAUUUUAGUCACCUAAUUAAUUAAACUACAAAAUCGUCCUUUAAGUAUUGAUUUUUUUGCAGUUUUGGUCCCCAAGUCAAUUUUGACCAAGUCAAAGCUGACAUGGACGCCACAUAUGUAUUUUUUAUUUUUAUUUAUUUUUUAAUUAUUAAAAAAUUAAAAAAAUAAAUAAAAAGUAUUUUUUAAUUAAAAAAAUAUAUUAAAAAAUUAAAAAAAUAAAUAAAUACACACGUGACGUUCAUGUGUGCAUUGACUUGGUCAAAAUUGGUCUGGGUGACCAAAACUGCAAAAAAGUUAAUACUUAAGGGGCGGUUUUGUAGUUUAUUUAGUUAGGGGGCCAAAAUUGUAACUUCUUGAAACAUAGGGGGCCAAAUCUGCUAUUAAGCCUUCUUUUUAUUACUAGGACGAUGAAGAGGAAGAUUAUGAUUCGCCAGAAGAGUUUUAUGAAGCGUUUGUGUUUCUUUCCUUUGUGGUGGUUGCACUCUUUUACCGACAUGGUUUUGAGGUUGAAGUUGAGGUUGUUGUUAAAGUUUUGUUUAGUGGAAUUUGGAAAAAGUAAGGUUUGAAGUAUUUGAGAGAGGAGUGAAAAAUGGUAGCUAGAGAGUGAUUUUUGUUAGGAAAAUUAAGAAG
This 15644-nucleotide long non-coding RNA is filed under the name Medicago truncatula (barrel medic). Its description in RNAcentral is "long non-coding RNA (MTRU_LNC005638)". The record is from RNAcentral. Lineage: Eukaryota; Viridiplantae; Streptophyta; Magnoliopsida; Fabales; Fabaceae.